This 325-nucleotide ribosomal RNA is filed under the name uncultured eukaryote. Its description in RNAcentral is "partial 18S ribosomal RNA". It matches the Rfam family "Eukaryotic small subunit ribosomal RNA", at positions 1470 to 1796 of the family's 1831-position model. The record is from RNAcentral.
CCCUUAGAUGUUCUGGGCCGCACGCGCGCUACACUGAUGCAUUCAACAAGUUUUACCUUGGCCGAGAGGCCUGGGAAAUCUUUCAAAUAUGUAUCGUGAUAGGGAUAGAUUAUUGCAAUUAUUAAUCUUGAACGAGGAGUUCCUAGUAAAUGCAGAUCAUCAUUCUGCGUUGAUUACGUCCCUGCCCUUUGUACACACCGCCCGUCGCACCUACCGAUUGAAUGAUCCGGUGAAGCCUCGGGAUUGUGCCCAGAGAACUUUAUUGUGAUUUGGGUGUGAGAACUUGUCUAAACCUUAUCAUUUAGAGGAAGGUGAAGUCGUAACA